RNAcentral lists this ribosomal RNA (2101 nucleotides) under Triticum aestivum (bread wheat). RNAcentral describes it as "partial small subunit ribosomal RNA". The record is from RNAcentral. Lineage: Eukaryota; Viridiplantae; Streptophyta; Magnoliopsida; Poales; Poaceae.
UGCUAGACUUGGUAGUUUUGUGUAGAAGGUGAGGCGUCGGUCUGAAAAAGGAGGGGUGGUAGGGCAUGGAAAGGAGAAGGAAGGGCUAGGUGAGGAGGGGAGUGCGACGAGAGUAUGAGACUGGAUGGGUUCGAGGUAAGGUCAAGGUUAGGUUUGGGUUGCUCAAAGAUUUUAGAAGAGGGCAUGAGGUGGCGGCGGCACGGGAUCUCGACGGCGGCACGGCUCGAUUCGAAGUGGCGGCCGCGGAGUGUGGGGGGUUGAGGAAGCGGAGAGUGCGCGAAGCGGAGGUAGCGGCAGGAGCAAGAUGGGGUAGCGCAGCGGCGACUGAGGUGGGGGCGGACGUAUAACCUGUAGCCAAAAACUCUAGGCGGGACCGGAGGAGCCGCCGGCUCUCCUCGGCGAGGCCCGAGCCCAGUCCAAAGGCCAUGGAGUGGCCUCGGCGGUGGCCCACCACCCUGGCCACCUACCAGUACCCUCGGUCGCCGAGGUUCGAGCUCUUCCGGGAGCCGCUGGUCAAGGGACUUCCGCUCGCGAUGAAGCCGGAGCUCUUGAAGCCGUUGUGGACGAUGACGUUGUCACAUGAGGUCCGUGAAAUAAAAACGUGAGGUAAGUCCCUCGUCGAUGACCUUAUAAUAUACUUAUUAUUUUUAGGCCCUCUACGUCUCCUUUUAGAAAACUGAACAAACCGUCUAGAAAAGUACGUCCAUUCAGUUAGUUUCUUUUUCUGUCCGCAAUAACGAGGUUUUGCAAAACAGGUUUCUCACUUCUUUGUUUUACUUAAUAAAGCGUCGAUGUACGUGGUCCUACGAGUACUCAAGAAUUUAAAAGACAACUUACUCGAACAACUAUAAGACCUCUUUCUCAGGUCACGACGCUUCCUGAGUGGGGUUAGUAGUAGAGGACUUUUUCAAGGUUUACCCGGUCAAGUUGGAAACCGGUUACCUCAAUUUUUUCUUGGUGGACAAUGGAACCAGGUAUUCUUAAAGGUCCCGUAUGACUGGUUACUUUGGUUUACGAAUUCUACACUCUGUCAUUGACGUUCCCUGCUUUGCAAAAAACUAGACUCACAACUGUAGCUCGUCUUAUCAAGGUAAUGUUCGACGGACUUUUUAAAGUCGAGGUGACUCUGAAAUUUACGGCUCCUGUUUAAGAAGACACUGUUUACAACGUCAAACGUUCUUCGUGUCUUCUCUUACUUCUAGUUCUUCCGAGGGGUAUAUAACCACUAGGUGGAUUUCGCGAAAUUCAUGUAACUCGUCGAACCCGCCAUAUUCUUCGAAAGCAUAGCCCAACAGAAGGGGUACCUCGACUUCUAGUCGUCAUGUAGACUACUACACCUAUGACUUAUGAGAGAGAAACGACACCACCAGGUACAACCUUCGCCGGGGUUAGUACCGGUAAUACAUUCGGAGCAUUUUUCGGUGUUGGUGACCAACAAGAAGCUACUACUUUUGCACCUCUACCAACUUCUCAGUUGGGACGUUUGUAAGAAGCCAAGAAGCGUGCUUAUGAGUCCGUUGUGUCUAGUACCUAUGUAGAACAAAAUGCUCCCGGAACCACGCUUCUCAAAUCCAACUAAAAGGGACAACAAAAAGAAAAGAGAAAGAAACCUCGUACGUUCAAAUGACAACAUACAUGUGUCGAUAAAGUGGUGGAGGUACCCUUUAACAAUUAGAGUCUCUAACACUCAUACUUGGACUCCUUUCGGUCUAAAAAACACCAAGAUCACAUGUCGCCUUUUACCUUGGAACGAGGUCACUACUACUUUAUUCCGCGUUCAGUAUUUCAUGCGAGCUGAUAUGAAGGGUGGCUGUAAGAAUGCUUCCUUACAUUGUUACGUAACCCAAGACAUACAACUAAGAUUAAACUCUAAAAAUACCUGAUCUAAAUCGGUAGACUACACGAUCGUCACGGGAAGUUCCGAACCUUAGUAUACAGGUCAAUCUUAAUGUUAUACCACAUACGAACUGAAUACUACCAACUUAACUAAAUCCCUCAAACCGAUAACUCCAAUGAAAACUUAAGUACAUAGGGUACACAAAGAGGUCAAUACACCUACGUUUUUUAUAAGCAUCCUUUACAUGCAGAGUAAAAACAACUC